Molecule: ribosomal RNA, 424 nt
Filed under: uncultured prokaryote
Description: bacterial SSU rRNA
Rfam family: Bacterial small subunit ribosomal RNA
Source: RNAcentral
UGGGGAAUAUUGGACAAUGGGCGCAAGCCUGAUCCAGCCAUGCCGCGUGAGUGAUGAAGGCCUUAGGGUUGUAAAUCUCUUUCACCGGGGAAGAUAAUGACGGUACCCGGAGAAGAAGCCCCGGCUAACUCCGUGCCAGCAGCCGCGGUAAUACGGAGGGGGCUAGCGUUGUUCGGAAUUACUGGGCGUAAAGCGGGCGUAGGCGGCGCGGCAAGUUAGGACUGAAAGCCCGGGGCUUAACUCCGGAAUUGCACUUAAGACUGCUGCGCUAGAGGCCGAGAGAGGUGAGUGGAAUUCCCAGUGUAGAGGUGAAAUUCGUAGAUAUUGGGAAGAACACCAGUGGCGAAGGCGGCUCACUGGCUCGGUUCCGACGCUGAGGUGCGAAAGCGUGGGGAGCAAACAGGAUUAGAUACCCCCGUAGUCC